Long non-coding RNA from Stegostoma tigrinum, 1576 nucleotides. RefSeq lists it as uncharacterized. NCBI's taxonomy places the organism in Eukaryota, Metazoa, Chordata, Chondrichthyes, Orectolobiformes, Stegostomatidae. The transcript has 5 exons. The record is from RefSeq and is a predicted model, not a curated record.
UCAAUGUGCAAGAUAUUAGGCAACUGCAUGCCCAAAAUCAAGGAGCACAAUGAAGGAGCUCAUUCUAAACACAAAUUUACCAAAUCGAAGGAAAAAGAAAGGAUUGGGCCAGGAAUUCCUUUAACCUGAUGAUACUCAAAGGAUUCGUACAACUGAGACCCUCAAGUACACAGUGCCAGACAUCAAUGUCGAAACUGAUGUGCUCCUUAAUGGCAACAUAUCACCAGAAAGUGGAAAUAGAAAGACUCUCUUGUUCAAAAUUUGGAAAUCCACUGAUGUUUUCAAAACACCAACAAAUACUUCCCAUCAGGCCUGUUCAACCAUUUUGAGGGCCCAUUGACUACUUUGUUGGCAGGUACAGUGGGAGUUGAACAAAUGAUCUGCCUGAUUCCUUCUCAAAGUAACCAGCACUGGAUGAGAAAUCAUUUUUAAAAAUUUCAGAACAAUUUGAAGGACCUUGUGUUCCUUAAACAACAACAAAAAACCAGAAUGGUAUAUUUUGCGAAUGAGACCAAUGAUCAAUGAGCAUCUAAACAAGUUUCAGCUUUACAAGUUGACAUGAAACCUAGCACAACCAGAGAUAAUAGGAACUGCUGAUGCUGGAGAAUCUGAGAUAACACGGUGUGAAGCUUGGUGAACAAAGCAGGCCAAGCAGCAUCAGAGGAGCAGGAAAACUUGACGCUUCAGUUUGGGACCCUUCUUCAGAAACUUCUAACCACAUGCUCAAUUUUGGUUCUCUACCUGAAAAGACUGAACUUCACUGGAAGGGUAGUGAAAAGAGAUGCAGCACAGUCUUCUUAGGCUGACACGUCAGGAGACAUGGAGAGCAAGUUCUUGUGACUGCUUUUGGAGAUCAACGGUCAGAAAGUCCUGAUUGUGAUUGACAUCCUGACUGUUGGGAGACUGGGGUGGUGGGUCAGGAGGAAUUUGUAGCUACAUUAAAGAGGUAUAUCUGAAAAUAAGUAUUAAUCACAAAACUGGGGGCUGGAAUAUACCUUCUGCUACCUGUUCAGCUUGGUGCCGAUUGGAUUAUAACUAUGUAAGAUCAGCUCCCAAUUGUCAUGCUGUCCCCUCCAAAAAUGACUUCAUAAAAAGCAUCCCUGGGGUCAAAGGUCAGGUGAAUCAACAUAUAAAUUUAUAUCCUCCUAGUACUGUAGCCAACAAUAAAAAAAAAUUUAAGUCAGUAUCAUUCAGCCUGUAAGGAAUCGGAACAAUGCAGCUAUCUUUGUUGUGAUAUGGCCAUUAAUUAAACAAGCUGAUUGCUGAUUUUGGAAGCAAUAGGAAUUGCCAAGGUCAAAUAUCUGACAUUUGCUGACAAAGCAUCAUUGAUUAUUAUUGAAGAUUGUUUCUGUUUACUGUUGAUCAGUAUCCUGGUUAAUGAAAUUGUGGGAGAUAUUUUGUUUGUCUACAACUUUGCUGUUUAAAAGGCUGGGUUCCUAAAUGUCUGCAGCUCCACGGGAUGGUCAGUGCUUUAGAUAAAGUUGUAAUUUUCACAGCCUUAAGCGUGUGAAAUCCCUCAGAGUACAUAUAAGUUAUUCAUGCAGCAAACUAAAGGCUGUUUUAGCAUAGCAUCAAA